RNAcentral lists this ribosomal RNA (278 nucleotides) under Ferrisia meridionalis. Its description in RNAcentral is "partial 28S ribosomal RNA". Lineage: Eukaryota; Metazoa; Arthropoda; Insecta; Hemiptera; Pseudococcidae. The record is from RNAcentral.
AAACCGUUCGGGGGUAAACGGACAGAGCCCGUGAAUCCGGGCGACGGAAUUCAGAAUCGACGACGUUGCGUCGUCGGUUUGAUAUUUCCGUCGCCGUACGGACGUCGCGACCCGUUCGGUGUCGGUCCGAGGAGACGUGUUCGCCGACGUCGUCCAUCGCGUCGACGAGUGCGCGUUCUUGUUUUCUGGCCGACUCGCCGGACGGUACGUUAACGGUGGCCGCGGCGACCUAGCGUCGUCGGUACCGGUCUGCGACGAAUCUUCGGGCCUCUUUCCGA